RNAcentral lists this non-coding RNA (30 nucleotides) under Mus musculus (house mouse). Lineage: Eukaryota; Metazoa; Chordata; Mammalia; Rodentia; Muridae. The record is from RNAcentral.
UAUACGAUAAAAAUUGUAGUAAUAUUUUCA